This is a long non-coding RNA of Vidua macroura (Pin-tailed whydah), 1498 nucleotides long. RefSeq lists it as uncharacterized. The transcript has 2 exons. NCBI's taxonomy places the organism in Eukaryota, Metazoa, Chordata, Aves, Passeriformes, Viduidae. The record is from RefSeq and is a predicted model, not a curated record.
AGAAAAAAAAGGAAAAGAAAAAGAAAAAAGAAUAAAAAGAAAAAGGAGAAAAAACCACCAAAGCAAUGCCCAAGCAAGUUCUGCUUGCUUUUCCUUUCAUUUACCACAGCACAUCAAUUUUCCUCCAAACUGUAGCAUCUUUUCCCAAUCCUGUGGGUCUUCAAAACUUUCAGGCUUUCAAAUCAUCUGUACAUUGUUCAGUCAUGCGUGUGGGUGGCCUGGAUAAGUUUAGGAUGUGUUUUUCUCCGACUGCAGUUAGAAUUGUACACUAAACUCUUGGCUGUUUCUGGGUACUUUAACAAGUUGAUGAGCUUGCAGCCGGGUGCCCGGGGCUGGGAUCCAACGUGGGCGGUUGACGCCGGUGCUGUGUUCCUUUACCACAGGAGCAGGGCCACCCCUGGCUUGCACAGUUCUAAGGACAGUGAGGACUCCAGCUCCCCACCAUGUCCAGUGGCUGAGCACAGCUGCAGAGAGACAGGAUAAAACCCUCUUUGUGACCUCUGGGGGUGUGGGAAAAGUAAAGGAAAUUUUCCUCUGGGAUGAAGAAGAAAGUAACAAAGUCUCUUUGGUCACCAUCUAUUUCAGUGCCACCAGCACAGAGCUGUCACUAUUGUGGUGGGCAUUUUCAUGGAGACUCCCAGGCCUCCUUCCAUUGUUAUUUCAGUCUAUUUUAGAUGGAUUCUGCAUCUGCAUUUUUUUCAAGAGGAGAAAAAAAAAAAAAAAAAACAACUUGAUGAUUUUUGUUUCAUGGAAGCUGUGCUAAAGGGACCAACAAGCACUGCAAAGAUUCCUUUCAUGUAAUAAUCCUUGGAAAUAGUAUGGAUAGAACAAACUCCCCCUUCCAAAUAGCCUGUCAGGCUGGUGUGAAUUCUCAGAGAAGCAAAACGUGCUUUUGCUGAUGUAGUUCCCACUAACUAGGUCAGUCAAUGAAAUCAGCUGCCAAGGCAAGAUCUGCUGAAUGCUGGAAAAGCUGUGGCUGCAUCGGGGUUUGGGUUUUUGGUUGGUAAAGGAAAGUCAUCUCUGGGUCUCUCCAGGGCAGUUUCUGCAGAGUGGAGCUUAAACAAUGGGAUCUGAGAGAGCAGUUACAGAUGGGAAAGAAGCAGCUGGAGCCUUAUGUUUCCUUUUUCCCCAGCCUCAACUCCUGAUAGCCAUACGAGGGACACCAAAGCUGCGGCAGCCCAACCGAUUCUCGUCUUCCCUGCGUAACUUCCUGAGGCACUGCCUGCGGACAGACGCGGCACGGCGCUGGUCUGCCAAGGAGCUCCUGCAGCAUCCAUUUGUAACAUCAGCCAAGCCAGCGUCCACCCUGGUACCACUCAUCAACUCAGUGAAGAAGGAGAAGAAGAAGAAGACAAGAAUCUAACAGUCAAGAUAUUUUUGCCAUAACCAAGUUAGAGUAGGAUUGUAGAGUAGGACUCUAGAGUAGGAUUAUUGAGUUGUUUUGUAGUAUAGGUUUAUAGAGUAGGAUUGGAAUUAAAUAAAGUUUCUGAAGCAUCAA